GUCACAACGUGUUCUAAGAUUUUUAGUUCUUUUUACUUUCGGACUUUGUUGGAAAAACAUGGCUAAAAGGAGGAUUCUAUCAUUAGGCCAGCAGUCCUUAAGAGACAAUAUUUACUGAGGAAUCACGAAGAGACUUCUGCGAAGGAAAGAUUUUUUUUUUGGACGAAUUACUUUUUUGGAACAUGAAGAAGGAACUUUUGAUGGAAUGCGAGUACUUAGUAGCUGAAAAUAAUAUUUGCAUAUGUUGAACAAGUCUCAAACACAAAUGGGCAUGAACACGAAGAAAUAGUUAUCGUACAAGGAGCAGUCUUUUCUUCAUUUAUAGUAAUAAUUAUAAUAAAAAUAUAAUGUAUUCUUGCAUAUUUUCUAUUUAAGUUUAAUAUGACAUAU
This is a long non-coding RNA of Ctenocephalides felis (cat flea), 390 nucleotides long. RefSeq lists it as uncharacterized. NCBI's taxonomy places the organism in Eukaryota, Metazoa, Arthropoda, Insecta, Siphonaptera, Pulicidae. The transcript is spliced from 3 exons. The record is from RefSeq and is a predicted model, not a curated record.